GGAGCCUAGCUGCUGCUCAACACUGAUCUCUUCUCUCUCCCAGGCUCCCUCUCUGCUGAGGCUGACGACCUGGUCUGGCCUCACAUCUGGGGGAGGAGCAGAGUCUCCUGCCAAGGACAGGCCCUCCUGAAGCUUGGGCAACAUAUGAACUUCUCAACUCGGCCCUGCCUGUCUCUUCUCUGGUUCAUGUUCUCCUCCGCCUCCGUGGGCGUGGAAAGGGCUCAGUGGCUACUUGACAGCACGCUGUGUCAUUUUGGAGCACUGCUCAGUUCUGGUUUAUGGUGGUGCUGUGGAUUGAACCCGGACCUUUGCCACCUCAGACAUGAGAGCUUCUUGGAAGACAAACAGAGAGACAGAAGGAGGAAGAAGGAGAGAGAGUGCAGCACUGGGGGAAGCUCCGGCCCAUGAGGAAUGUUCUAGAACAGGAGAGCCAAGCCCUGCUAGGAGCAGUGUGCACUGGCUGUGCU
Molecule: long non-coding RNA, 467 nt
Organism: Erinaceus europaeus (western European hedgehog)
Lineage: Eukaryota; Metazoa; Chordata; Mammalia; Eulipotyphla; Erinaceidae
Exons: 3
Source: RefSeq, a predicted model, not a curated record